UUAAAGGUUGGUAGGGGAACCUAUCAGUCUUGAAGCUAACACGAUAAGUAAUUCSGCCUGGAAGUACGGCCGCAAGGUUGAAACUCAAAUGAAUUGACGGGGGGCCCGCACAAGCGGUGGAGCAUGWGGCUUAAUUCGAUGCAACGCGAAGAACCUUACCUACCCUUGACAUCCUGCGAAUCCCGAUGAGAGUUGGGAGUGCCGAAAGGAGCGCAGAGACAGGUGCUGCAUGGCUGUSGUCAGCUCGUGUUGUGAGAUGUUGGGUUAAGUCCCGUAACGAGCGCAACCCUUGUCCUUAGUUGCCAUCAUUUAGUUGGGGACUCUAAGGAGACUGCCGGUGAUGAACCGGAGGAAGGCGGGGACGACGUCAAGUCAUCAUGGCCUUUAUGGGUAGGGSUACACACGUGCUACAAUGGGGCGUACAGAGAGUCGCGAACCCGCGAGGGGGAGCCAAUCUCGUAAAGCGUCUYGUAGUCCGGAUUGGGGUCUGCAACUCGACUCCAUGAAGUUGGAAUCGCUAGUAAUCGCGAAUCAGCAUUGUCGCGGUGAAUACGUUCCCGGGCCUUGUACACACCGCCCGUCACGUCAUGGGAGUGGAUGGUACCAGAAGCGGGUAGCUGAACCGAAAGGAAGGCGCUUGCCACGGUAUGAUUCAUGA
RNAcentral lists this ribosomal RNA (658 nucleotides) under uncultured bacterium. Its description in RNAcentral is "bacterial SSU rRNA". It matches the Rfam family "Bacterial small subunit ribosomal RNA", at positions 816 to 1474 of the family's 1533-position model. The record is from RNAcentral.